GAAGAGGUACCUUCUGCCAUGAUUGUAAGUUUCCUGAGGUCCCCGUGAGCCAUGCAGAACUAUUACCUGCUAAGAAGUGGGCAUCAAGACACGAAGACUAUCUCUGAAGGAAAAGGAAGACAAAAAGGGCAAAACUCACCAGGCUUCAAUUAACAGAAGUGUCUUUCUCAUACACUAUUUUAUUUUUUAUUUUUAUUUUUAUUUUUGAGACGGAGUCCUCCUUUGACACCAAGGCUGGAGUGCAGUGGUGUGAUGUGAUUCUUCUGCCUCAGCCUCCUGAUUAGCUGGGACUACAGGCACGCGCCAUCACGCCCAGCUAAUUUUUGUAUUUUUAGUAGAGACGGGGUUUCACCAUGUUGGACAGGAUUGUCUCGAGCUCCUCAUCUCAAGUGAUCCAACAGCCUUGGCCUCCCAAAGUGCUGAGAUUACAGGCCUGAGCCACCACGCCCAGCCCAUACAGUAUUUUAGAAGCAAUGAACCAGACAAUCUUUCUGCUGAAGUGGUCCAAGCACAGUUUUCCCUGAAGUGCAGUCCCUCUAGAGAACCCUGACUCGAUGAGUAUCAACAACAUCCAUAUUCUCCACCUGAGUUCUGAGCCAUUCAAAAUACAGACCUAGCUGUCAAACAGUAGGAGGGAGAGGACUCUUGGAAGCUUGUACCUGGAUUCCUCUCAGACUUCACUUCAUGUACCUUUUCCCUUUGCAGAUUUUUCUUUGUAUCUUUUAGCUAUAAUAAAUCUUAUUCAUGAGUGCAACUA
Long non-coding RNA from Symphalangus syndactylus (siamang), 757 nucleotides. RefSeq lists it as uncharacterized. The record is from RefSeq and is a predicted model, not a curated record. Lineage: Eukaryota; Metazoa; Chordata; Mammalia; Primates; Hylobatidae.